AUCUGAGCCACCUGAGUAUCAGCUAUUGGUUUAGUGUGCUAGAGUCCUUGAAGAGUAACUGCUGACCUUAAUCACUGGCUUGGCGUAGUCAGUCACCAGGCUAGUGACAUGC
Molecule: small nucleolar RNA, 112 nt
Filed under: Bos mutus (wild yak)
Lineage: Eukaryota; Metazoa; Chordata; Mammalia; Artiodactyla; Bovidae
Description: Small nucleolar RNA SNORA3/SNORA45 family (ENSBMUG00000006234.1)
Source: RNAcentral